GAACUUAAGCAUAUCAAUAAGCGGAGGAAAAGAAACUAACAAGGAUUCCCCUAGUAACUGCGAGUGAAGCGGGAAGAGCUCAAAUUUAAAAUCUGGCGCGCCUCUGGCCGUCCGAGUUGUAGUCUGGAGAAGCGUUUUCCGUGUUGGACCGUGUAUAAGUCUCUUGGAACAGGGCGUCAUAGAGGGUGAGAAUCCCGUCUUUGACACGGACUACCAAUGCUUUGUGAUGCGCUCUCAAAGAGUCGAGUUGUUUGGGAAUGCAGCUCAAAAUGGGUGGUAAAUUCCAUCUAAAGCUAAAUAUAGGCGAGAGACCGAUAGCGAACAAGUACCGUGAGGGAAAGAUGAAAAGCACUUUGGAAAGAGAGUUAAACAGUACGUGAAAUUGCUGAAAGGGAAACGCUUGAAGUCAGUCAUGUCUGCCAGGACUCAGCCUUGCUUCUGCUUGGUGUACUUUCUGGUCGGAUGGGCCAACAUCAAUUUUGACCGUUGGAGAAAGGCUUUGGGAAUGUGGCACCUUCGGGUGUGUUAUAGCCCUUUGCUGUAUACGACGGUUGGGAUUGAGGACUGCAGCACGCCUUUAUGGCCGGGGUACACCCACGUACGUGCUUAGGAUGUUGGCAUAAUGGCUUUAAGCGACCCGUCUUGAAACACGGACCAAGGAGUCUAACAUGCCUGCGAGUGUUUGGGUGGAAAACCCAUGCGCGUAAUGAAAGUGAUAGCUGAGAUCCUCUCAUCAGGAGCACCAGCGCCUGGACUUGAUCUACGGAGACGGUUCUACGGUAGAGCAUGUAUGUUGGGACCCGAAA
This 806-nucleotide ribosomal RNA is filed under the name uncultured fungus. RNAcentral's name for it is "eukaryotic LSU rRNA". It matches the Rfam family "Eukaryotic large subunit ribosomal RNA", at positions 30 to 821 of the family's 3401-position model. The record is from RNAcentral. Lineage: Eukaryota; Fungi.